RNAcentral lists this ribosomal RNA (510 nucleotides) under uncultured bacterium. RNAcentral describes it as "partial 16S ribosomal RNA". It matches the Rfam family "Bacterial small subunit ribosomal RNA", at positions 28 to 507 of the family's 1533-position model. The record is from RNAcentral.
GACGAACGCUGGCGGCGUGCUUAACACAUGCAAGUCGAACGAAGAGCGAUGGAAGCUUGCUUCUAUCAAUCUUAGUGGCGAACGGGUGAGUAACGCGUAAUCAACCUGCCCUUCAGAGGGGGACAACAGUUGGAAACGACUGCUAAUACCGCAUACGAUCUAAUCUCGGCAUCGAGGAUAGAUGAAAGGUGGCCUCUACAUGUAAGCUAUCACUGAAGGAGGGGAUUGCGUCUGAUUAGCUAGUUGGAGGGGUAACGGCCCACCAAGGCGAUGAUCAGUAGCCGGAAUGAGAGGAUGAACGGCCACAUUGGGAGGGAGACACGGCACAGACGCAUACGGGAGGCAGCAGUGGGGAAACUGGCGCAAGGGACGAAAGACAGACGGAGAAAGGCCGAGGGAGGGAGGACGGACGUCGGGUGGGAAAGCUCGGUUAAUCGGGACGAAAGGCCUUCUUGCGAAGAGGGAGAAGGAUUGACGGUAACGGAAAAGAAAGCCACGGCUAACUACGUG